CUUCCAGUUGCAGGAUGUGGAUCAAAUGACUCCCGCUUAUCGCACCUCCACCCCUAAACUGAAGGAAUAAGUGCCUGAAAACUCAGCUUGUGUUACCAAAUAAAUAGCAAGAAUGUGGGAUUCCCUAUCUGUGCUGCAGGGACUGCCCUCCUUCAGCUUUCUUCUCCUUAAUAAAAAAGCUAGGGCAUCCGGUUCCUGCGCCCCACUUGGUAGCACAGCACCAGUUAACUCACAGAGCCAGUUCUUGACACGUCAGAAAAGAGCAGAUUUAAAAUUCUCUUUGCAGUCCCUGGCCUGGCACACGUGUGUUCUCACAGACUCGUCCACGACACCGCCGAACUGCAGACUUUCCCACAGGAUGCAUGCCUCAUGCUGUACAACAGGAUAAUCACGCCCAGUGGCAGAAAUAAAUUAGCAUAGCAAUCUCAAUCUGCUGCCCGACUGUUUUUUCUCGUAUGUAAACUUCAAAGUCACUCAGAGGUCAAAGCUUGGAUGAAGACAGACCGAGGAGAACAGCAGCGGUGAGAACACGCAGUGCGGAGAAGCCGGGGAUGUCGGUGGCAGCACAUCGCCUCCAUCGAGGUGCUGGGGAGAUGACCUACGUCUUCGACGUGGCAUGCCAUGAUCUGAGCGUCUGAUGUGGUUGUUGAGGCUUCUGUGCUCACUGGGAAAUUGUCUCGCAGAGGAGCGAAGGGCACGGCCAUGCUCUGGCGGACUUGACAUUCACUGGCUGGUCUUGGUUCAGGCAGUCUGGAAAUAGCUAAAUAGAUCACCGUGAAAAUACUGGAGAAAAACAGCUUUUUCAUGGUUUGUGUUGAAUGCAGAGGGCUUCGGGGUUGGGUGCAAGUUCGGAUAGCACUUACAAUAGCACUGAAAUUAUUUCCCACAGAUGUAUUAGCUUGCAUUUGUUGCUUCUUCCACUUCCACAGUAAAUUCCCACAGGCACUGUGGGAAGAGAGCAUCCUUCUGUAGUGCUGGGCCUCCCCACCAGGGCUAAGAAGGGUUUCAGGCUUAGGAAGUACUUGAAACGCUCCCGAUACAAGGAGCACAUCUAAUGUGUGCCUUGUUGUCCCUUGUUAACAUAACCAGAAGCCACAUUGCUCUCUGCUGCUUCUCACUCAACAACCUUUUUCUGCUGGUUCCGGGCCACUUAGCAUCAUUCUUUUCCUUAAUGAGUUUCACAUCAGUUCUCAUUUUAGCUGAGAGAAAUAAUUUUUGGGCCAGUUUCAAUGAGUUUUGCAAGAAUUAAAGUGAUACUCACUUUUUCAUUAGUGACUCUUUACCACUAACACAGCUCUGCUUACUCCUGAUUUCCGUGCCUCUACGCGUUAAUGCAAAAGCAGAGAAGGAAAAAAACAAAAACACAGCGAGAGAAAAGAAAGAAAAAGUGUUAAUGUGGGAAGAGAAAGCAAAAGUGUGAAGUGGCUCUGUGAAGAGCCACGUGGGUGCAAAGAGAAGCGACAGGGACGCAGGGAAAAGCAGCUGGAAAGCAGGAGUGUGGAGAAAAAUGAGGCUAGGAGGAGGGGUAAAGGGGAGCAGGAGUGGGAGCGGGGAG
Long non-coding RNA from Gallus gallus (chicken), 1555 nucleotides. The record is from Ensembl. NCBI's taxonomy places the organism in Eukaryota, Metazoa, Chordata, Aves, Galliformes, Phasianidae.